GGGUAGGCGUAGGCGGCUGAUUAAGUCAGCGGUGAAAGGUAGCAGCUUAACUGUUUUACAUGCCGUUGAUACUGGUUAGCUUGAGUUGACAGAAGGCAGAUAGAAUUCCUGAUGUAGCGGUGAAAUGCUUAGAUAUCAGGAGGAAUACCGAUUGCGAAGGCAGUCUGCUGCAGUCACACUGACGCUGAGGCUCGAAGGUGCGGGGAUCAAACAGGAUUAGAUACCCCGGU
This 230-nucleotide ribosomal RNA is filed under the name uncultured bacterium. RNAcentral describes it as "partial 16S ribosomal RNA". It matches the Rfam family "Bacterial small subunit ribosomal RNA", at positions 565 to 791 of the family's 1533-position model. The record is from RNAcentral.